UACAGUUUCACCAAAUUUAGACCCCACUGAUGUCACCGUGUCGUACAGAUCCGGAGUUAGAUUCGGUACAGUUUCAUCCAAUUUUGAUUCUUUGUUAAGAUUAAUCUUACAAUUUCUCACUAGCUUUCUCUUUUUGGUUUUGGUUACAAGGUUGAACAGCGGCGGUGACAAAUGAAGUUAAGCUUGUAAGUGAUGUUCAUCAUCGAAACCUUCUCCGUCUCCUAGGAUGGUCCAGUGGAGGAUCUAAUCUACUUCUUGUCCUGGAGUACAUGCCAAAUGGCAGCCUUGACAGAUUUCUAUGGGGAUAUGAGGAGUUUGAGAUGGAGACAAGCUAUACUUCUAUUCCAAAGAUAUAGAGACUGAUUCGAAGGAGACCCCGACCAUAUAUGGAAUGGUUGCGGAUGUAAAGAUACGCAAAACACCAACUACGAAGGCGAGAACACUUGACAACCUCCUAGAAGAUAGUGCGGUGCACAUAAGGAACUGAUUGAUCAAAACGACCAAUUGCAUAUGAAUGAAUAUAACCCCAAUGGCAGAUAUGUAAUU
Long non-coding RNA from Helianthus annuus (common sunflower), 546 nucleotides. RefSeq lists it as uncharacterized. The transcript has 3 exons. The record is from RefSeq and is a predicted model, not a curated record. Lineage: Eukaryota; Viridiplantae; Streptophyta; Magnoliopsida; Asterales; Asteraceae.